UAUAAGCCUCAGUUAGACUGUCCAUGUCAGAUUGGAAAAUCGGCCAAUCAGAAACCUUCUUUUUGCCAUGUCACACCGAUGUUGCGCUGGUCUUUUUUAUUGAUCCGUAAAUCUAAGUUUUGGGCCAAGAAGCCCAAUCCAAAAGAAACCAAAACCUAAAACGCUGAACGCUGAGACUGAAUCGAUGAAUCAUUUCAACAGUCUCCAUCUUCGUCGUUACGACUUUCAUUAACUCGCAAUCAAUGAAACCUUUUCCGUUCUAAAAGGUUGUGAAUCAAUAAGGAGAUAAGUUUAUGUGAAAUUCAUCAGUUUCUCACUCUCAAUCAUUAUAAUUCUUUGAUCAUGCUCCAACGAAAGCUCACCAAAAUUGUAAAGAAAGAAGAGAGAGAGAUAUAGAAUCUUCUUCACGCCACAGAGUGACCCAAAUUAUCAGUUUCUUCAAUCAAAGGAAUUCACUCCGCCAGAGAGAUCGAAACGACUCCAAUAACUUCACAUUACCUUAUCUUCGAUGGGGUCAGCAGAGAUUCUUUAGAGGGGUCAAGCUAUCGUCAGAGAUCUCCCUAGGUCGCUGAAGGAGGAGAGCCUAAUGGUCUUGGAACGGCAAGCUGCGGCUGGAUCUUGUGUGCGAUGGGAAACCGUUGCAGGAGCUCCGCCUUGGAAUCUUGGCGUUAAGAGAUGGAGAUUCACAGAAACUGAAAUUCUCUGUCUCUUUGUUGAGGGAAGAUAUCGAAAAAUACUAAAUCUGGAUGUAUUCUAUUUGAUUGGAUACAAUAGCUUUGAUUUUAAAAGUUGUAAUUUCUUUGCGUUGUUGAAGUACAAGUACUCUUUCUUUUCCUCACUAUAGUGGAUUCGGGGUUGAUAUUCUCCAAAGAUAUCUCUAUUAUGGUUGUGUGAUUAUCCAGCGUAUUUAGAGAGGAUCAUGAUCAUCGGAUAAAAAUUGGAGGUUGAUGCUUCCUAAACUGAUGGUGGCAUCCGUACCGUAAGCGGCAUAGGUUUGUGGCUUCCAAGCUGCUGUUGGUGUUUCGUUGGGAAAAACCUCAUUCAAGACCGAAGAAGAGACCAACAACUGUCCAAAAUUGAAUGAAUGGGAAGUAACAACAGGCUCUUAUGAGUAAUGACGUCCCUGAGUAGAGGAAGUAACAACAUUUUCAUUUGAAUCUUUUCAGUUGUAAUAAGGAAGAACAAAUAUAGUAAAUGAACUAUUUUUCUUACAU
Raphanus sativus (radish) is the source of this 1214-nucleotide long non-coding RNA. RefSeq lists it as uncharacterized. The transcript is spliced from 2 exons. NCBI's taxonomy places the organism in Eukaryota, Viridiplantae, Streptophyta, Magnoliopsida, Brassicales, Brassicaceae. The record is from RefSeq and is a predicted model, not a curated record.